This 530-nucleotide ribosomal RNA is filed under the name uncultured bacterium. RNAcentral's name for it is "bacterial SSU rRNA". It matches the Rfam family "Bacterial small subunit ribosomal RNA", at positions 777 to 1320 of the family's 1533-position model. The record is from RNAcentral.
AAUAGAUACCCUGGUAGUCCUAGCCGUAAACGAUGAACACUAGGCGUAGUCGGUAUCGACCCCGGCUGUGCCGUAGCUAACGCAUUAAGUGUUCCGCCUGGGGAGUACGGCCGCAGGGCUAAAACUCAAAGGAAUUGACGGGGACCCGCACAAGCAGCGGAGCGUGUGGUUUAAUUCGUCGCAACGCGAAGAACCUUACCAGGGCUUGACAUGUGGCGGAAAACGGCGGAAACGUCGUCCUCCCGCAAGGGACCGUCAUGCAGGUGUUGCAUGGCUGUCGUCAGCUCGUGUCGUGAGAUGUUGGGUUAAGUCCCGCAACGAGCGCAACCCCCGUGGCAUGUUGUAUCUCUCAUGCCAGACUGCCGAGAGAAACUCGGAGGAAGUGGGGAUGACGCCAAGUCAGCAUGGCCCUUACGUCCUGGGCUACACACACGCUACAAUGGCCGGUACAACGGGUUGCCAAACCGCGAGGUGGAGCUAAUCCCUUAAAGCCGGUCUCAGUUCGGACUGCAGGCUGCAACUCGCCUGCA